Molecule: ribosomal RNA, 460 nt
Filed under: uncultured bacterium
Lineage: Bacteria
Description: partial 16S ribosomal RNA
Rfam family: Bacterial small subunit ribosomal RNA
Source: RNAcentral
CCUACGGGUGGCAGCAGUGAGGAAUAUUGGUCAAUGGACGCAAGUCUGAACCAGCCAUGCCGCGUGCAGGAUGACGGCUCUAUGAGUUGUAAACUGCUGUUGUACAGGGGUAAAUCCCGAUACGUGUAUCUGGUUGGAAGUAUAGUAUGAAUAAGGAUCGGCUAACUCCGUGCCAGCAGCCGCGGUAAUACGGAGGAUUCAAGCGUUAUCCGGAUUUAUUGGGUUUAAAGGGUGCGUAGGCGGUUCGUGAAGUUAGAGGUGAAAGUACGGGGCUCAACUCCGGCACUGACUCUGAUACUGUCGGGCUAGAGUAUAGUUGAGGUAGGCGGAAUGCAUGGUGUAGCGGUGAAAUGCAUAGAGAUCAUACAGAACACCGAGUGCGAAGGCAGCUUACCAAACUACGACUGACGUUGAGGCUCGAAAGCGUGGGGAGCAAACAGGAUUAGAUACCCGAGUAGUC